AUGAAGAACGCAGCGAAAUGCGAUAAGUAGUGUGAAUUGCAGAAUUCAGUGAAUCAUCGAAUCUUUGAACGCACAUUGCGCCCCUUGGUAUUCCAUGGGGCAUGCCUGUUCGAGCGUCAUUUGUACCUUCAAGCUUUGCUUGGUGUUGGGUGUUUGUCCUGAGGGACUCGCCUUAAAGUAAUUGGCAGCCAGUGUUUGGUUUUGAAGCGCAGCACAAGUCGCGAUUCAAAGCUAUACGCCCGCUUCCACAAGCCUUUUUCACUUUUGACCUCGGAUCAGGUAGGGAUACCCGCUGAACUUAAGCAUAUCAAUAAGCGGAGGA
Molecule: unclassified non-coding RNA, 322 nt
Filed under: soil metagenome
Description: partial contains 5.8S ribosomal RNA, internal transcribed spacer 2, and large subunit ribosomal RNA
Rfam family: 5.8S ribosomal RNA (bases 1-119)
Source: RNAcentral